RNAcentral lists this ribosomal RNA (253 nucleotides) under uncultured bacterium. Its description in RNAcentral is "partial 16S ribosomal RNA". It matches the Rfam family "Bacterial small subunit ribosomal RNA", at positions 524 to 776 of the family's 1533-position model. The record is from RNAcentral.
UACAGAGGGUGCGAGCGUUGUUCGGAAUUAUUGGGCGUAAAGGGCGCGUAGGCGGUGCCACAAGUCACCUGUGAAAUCCCCGGGCUUAACUCGGGGCCUGCAGGCGAAACUGUGGUGCUGGAGUAUGGGAGAGGUGCGUGGAAUUCCCGGUGUAGCGGUGAAAUGCGUAGAUAUUCGGAGGAACACCAGUGGCGAAGGCGGCUCACUGGUCCGGUACUGACGCUGAGGUGCGAAAGCGUGGGGAGCAAACAGG